RNAcentral lists this ribosomal RNA (443 nucleotides) under uncultured bacterium. Its description in RNAcentral is "bacterial SSU rRNA". It matches the Rfam family "Bacterial small subunit ribosomal RNA", at positions 958 to 1398 of the family's 1533-position model. The record is from RNAcentral.
AACGCGAAGAACCUUACCUGGGCUUGAACCGCUACUGACCAAGGGUAGAAAUAUCCUCUUCCCGCAAGGGACAGUAGUAGAGGUGCUGCAUGGCUGUCGUCAGCUCGUGUCGUGAGAUGUUGGGUUAAGUCCCGCAACGAGCGCAACCCUUGUCCAUAGUUACUAACGGGUAGUGCCGAGAACUCUAUGGAGACUGCCGGUGAUAAACCGGAGGAAGGUGGGGAUGACGUCAAGUCCUCAUGGCCUUUAUGUCCAGGGCUACACACGUGCUACAAUGGGCGGUACAAAGAGUUGCGAUCCCGCGAGGGGGAGCUAAUCUCAAAAAACCGCUCUCAGUUCGGAUUGCAGUCUGCAACUCGACUGCAUGAAGCUGGAAUCGCUAGUAAUCGCGGAUCAGCACGCCGCGGUGAAUACGUUCCCGGGCCUUGUACACACCGAUACUC